This 2009-nucleotide ribosomal RNA is filed under the name marine metagenome. Its description in RNAcentral is "bacterial LSU rRNA". It matches the Rfam family "Bacterial large subunit ribosomal RNA", at positions 515 to 2521 of the family's 2925-position model. The record is from RNAcentral.
UGAAAAGCACCCCGGAAGGGGAGUGAAAUAGAUCCUGAAACCGUGUGCCUACAAGUAGUUAGAGCCCGUUAAUGGGUGAUAGCGUGCCUUUUGUAGAAUGAACCGGCGAGUUACGAUUGCAUGCAAGGUUAAGCUGAGAAGGCGGAGCCGCAGCGAAAGCGAGUCUGAAUAGGGCGAUAGAGUAUGUAGUUGUAGACCCGAAACCAGGUGAUCUACCCAUGUCCAGGGUGAAGGUAAGGUAACACUUACUGGAGGCCCGAACCCACGCACGUUGAAAAGUGCGGGGAUGAGGUGUGGGUAGCGGAGAAAUUCCAAUCGAACCUGGAGAUAGCUGGUUCUCUCCGAAAUAGCUUUAGGGCUAGCCUCAAUUUUGAGAAUCCUGGAGGUAGAGCACUGUUUGGACUAGGGGCCCAUCCCGGGUUACCGAAUUCAGACAAACUCCGAAUGCCAGAGAUUUAUAAUUGGGAGUCAGACUGCGAGUGAUAAGAUCCGUAGUCAAGAGGGAAACAGCCCAGACCACCAGCUAAGGUCCCCAAGUAAUUGUUAAGUGGAAAAGGAUGUGGCGUUGCUUAGACAACCAGGAUGUUGGCUUAGAAGCAGCCAUCAUUUAAAGAGUGCGUAAUAGCUCACUGGUCGAGUGACACUGCGCCGAAAAUGUACCGGGGCUAAACGGAUUACCGAAGCUGUGGAUGGAUCCCGUAUGGGAUCCGUGGUAGGAGAGCGUUCUAAGGGCGUUGAAGCUGGACCGGAAGGACUGGUGGAGCGCUUAGAAGUGAGAAUGCCGGUAUGAGUAGCGAAAGACGGGUGAGAAUCCCGUCCACCGAAUGACUAAGGUUUCCUGAGGAAGGCUCGUCCGCUCAGGGUUAGUCGGGACCUAAGCCGAGGCCGAUAGGCGUAGGCGAUGGACAACAGGUUGAUAUUCCUGUACCACCACUCCACCGUUUGAGUAAUGGGGGGACGCAGAAGGAUAGGGUAAGCGUACUGUUGGUUAUGUACGUUCAAGCAGUGAGGCGUGGAAUGAGGCAAAUCCCGUUCCUAUAACGUUGAGCUGUGAUGACAAGGACCAUUAGGUCUGAGUUCCUGAUUUCACACUGCCAAGAAAAGCCUCUAACGAGGUGGAAGGUGCCCGUACCGCAAACCGACACAGGUAGUCGAGGAGAGAAUCCUAAGGUGAGCGAGAGAACUCUCGUUAAGGAACUCGGCAAAAUGACCCCGUAACUUCGGGAGAAGGGGUGCUCUAUUAGGGUGUUAAAGCCUGAGAGAGCCGCAGUGAAUAGGCCCAGGCGACUGUUUAGCAAAAACACAGGUCUCUGCAAAACCGUAAGGUGACGUAUAGGGGCUGACGCCUGCCCGGUGCUGGAAGGUUAAGAGGAGUGCUUAGCGCAAGCGAAGGUGCGAAUUGAAGCCCCAGUAAACGGCGGCCGUAACUAUAACGGUCCUAAGGUAGCGAAAUUCCUUGUCGGGUAAGUUCCGACCCGCACGAAAGGCGUAACGAUCUGGGCACUGUCUCAACGAGAGACUCGGUGAAAUUAUAGUACCUGUGAAGAUGCAGGUUACCCGCGACAGGACGGAAAGACCCCGUGGAGCUUUACUGUAGCCUGAUAUUGAAUUUUGGUACAACUUGUACAGGAUAGGUAGGAGCCUGAGAUUCCGGAGCGCCAGCUUCGGAGGAGGCGUCGGUGGGAUACUACCCUGGUUGUAUUGAACUUCUAACCCUUGCCCCUUAGCGGGGCAGGAGACAGUGUCAGGCGGGCAGUUUGACUGGGGCGGUCGCCUCCUAAAGUGUAACGGAGGCGCCCAAAGGUUCCCUCAGAAUGGUUGGAAAUCAUUCGUAGAGUGUAAAGGCAGAAGGGAGCUUGACUGCGAGACCUACAAGUCGAGCAGGGUCGAAAGACGGGCUUAGUGAUCCGGUGGUUCCGCAUGGAAGGGCCAUCGCUCAACGGAUAAAAGGUACCCCGGGGAUAACAGGCUUAUCUCCCCCAAGAGUUCACAUCGACGGGGAGGUUUGG